UACAGAGGGGGCAAGCGUUAUUCGGAAUUAUUGGGCGUAAAGGGCGCGUAGGCGGCCUGGCAAGUGGAAGGUGAAAUCCCUCGGCUUAACCGAGGAACUGCCCUCCAAACUGCUUGGCUUGAGUCCGGGAGAGGUGAGUGGAAUUCCCAGUGUAGCGGUGAAAUGCAUAGAUAUGUCACAGAACACCAAUUGCGAAGGCAGCUUACUAAAGUAUGAUUGACGCUGAGGCACGAAAGCGUGGGGAUCAAACAGG
This 253-nucleotide ribosomal RNA is filed under the name uncultured bacterium. Its description in RNAcentral is "partial 16S ribosomal RNA". It matches the Rfam family "Bacterial small subunit ribosomal RNA", at positions 524 to 776 of the family's 1533-position model. The record is from RNAcentral.